This 681-nucleotide ribosomal RNA is filed under the name Alexandrium tamarense. Its description in RNAcentral is "partial Bacterial small subunit ribosomal RNA". It matches the Rfam family "Bacterial small subunit ribosomal RNA", at positions 1 to 719 of the family's 1533-position model. Lineage: Eukaryota; Dinophyceae; Gonyaulacales; Pyrocystaceae. The record is from RNAcentral.
AAGGAGAGUUUGAUCCUGGCUCAGAAGGAACGCUGGCAGCGUGCAUAACACAUGCAAGUCGAACGAUGAAGCAUUCUUCGGAAUGUGGAAGAGUGGCGAACGGGUGAGGAACACGUAAGAAUCUGCCCCUCGGUCGGGGACAACUCUUGGAAACGAGAGCUAAUACCCGAUACGCUGUGGAGUGAAAGAAUUUCGCCGAGGGAUGAUCUUGCGUCUGAUUAGCUAGUUGGUGUGGUAAAGGCAUACCAAGGCGACGAUCAGUAGCUGGUCUGAGAGGAUGAACAGCCACAUUGGAACUGAGACACGGUCCAAACUCCUACGGGAGGCAGCAGUGGGGAAUUUUCCGCAAUGGGCGAAAGCCUGACGGAGCAACGCCGCGUGAGGGAUGAAGGCCUCUGGGCUGUAAACCUCUUUUAUCAAGGAAGAAGAUCUGACGGUACUUGAUGAAUAAGCCACGGCUAAUUCCGUGCCAGCAGCCGCGGUAAUACGGGAGUGGCAAGCGUUAUCCGGAAUUAUUGGGCGUAAAGCGUCCGCAGGCGGUCUGUCAAGUCUGCUGUUAAAGCGUGGAGCUUAACUCCAUUUCGGCAGUGGAAACUGACAGACUAGAGUGUGGUAGGGGCAGAGGGAAUUCCCGGUGUAGCGGUGAAAUGCGUAGAUAUCGGAAGGAACACCUGUGGCGAA